RNAcentral lists this ribosomal RNA (497 nucleotides) under uncultured bacterium. RNAcentral's name for it is "partial 16S ribosomal RNA". It matches the Rfam family "Bacterial small subunit ribosomal RNA", at positions 28 to 507 of the family's 1533-position model. The record is from RNAcentral.
GAUGAACGCUGGCGGCGUGCCUAAUACAUGCAAGUCGAGCGAACGGACGAGAAGCUUGCUUCUCUGAUGUUAGCGGCGGACGGGUGAGUAACACGUGGAUAACCUACCUAUAAGACUGGGAUAACUUCGGGAAGCCGGAGCUAAUACCGGAUGAUAUUUUGAACCGCAUGGUUCAAAAGUGAAAGACGGUCUUGCUGUCACUUAUAGAUGGAUCCGCGCUGCAUUAGCUAGUUGGUAAGGUAACGGCUUACCAAGGCAACGAUGCAUAGCCGACCUGAGAGGGUGAUCGGCCACACUGGAACUGAGACACGGUCCAGACUCCUACGGGAGGCAGCAGUAGGGAAUCUUCCGCAAAGGGCGAAAGCCUGACGGAGCAACGCCGCGUGAGUGAUGAAGGUCUUCGGAUCGUAAAACUCUGUUAUUAGGGAAGAACAUAUGUGUAAGUAACUGUGCACAUCUUGACGGUACCUAAUCAGAAAGCCACGGCUAACUACGUG